Long non-coding RNA from Macaca mulatta (Rhesus monkey), 530 nucleotides. RefSeq lists it as uncharacterized. The record is from RefSeq and is a predicted model, not a curated record. Lineage: Eukaryota; Metazoa; Chordata; Mammalia; Primates; Cercopithecidae.
CUCAUUUGGUAACUCGACUGGAGCGGGGGAGUCAUUCCUGAAGAGUCCACAUUUGCGGGCCCCAAUUCCGACUCCAUAAGUGGUUUCCAAAGACAAACAGAAACCGGAGAGCCCAGCUUCUUUUUCCUGGAUUCCCCGUUUUAGUGAAUCCUGGGAAGGGAGAGACCUGAAGUUCUUAAGACACAACCUUACAGAUUGAUGUGAGAAUCAAAUGAUUUAAUAGGAUGCUGUUUGAUAAAGAGUUCAUUGACCAUGAUGGACAGAGAGGCUGUAUAAAGAGAAAAAAGCCAGUCACACCUCACAUUUCAGCCACUCCCACUGGAGCUCCAGACAUGUGAAUGAAGCCACCUCAGACUCUCCAGCACAGGCAAAAGAACCAAUAUGAACCCAAAGCAAUGAGAAAGGAAGGCAGGAAAGGGGAAGUAAGGGAGAGUUACUUGUUGCCCUGGAGGCUUGGAGAAAAGGUGCUUAAUGGUCAAUUUAUUUUUCUCCAUUUAUUCAGUCAAUAAACGUUACUACAAAAAUUUUAA